CCUACCCAAUGGGCUUCUGUCAUUUCACAAUCAUUGAGUUGACUUAAUAUGUUAUUUGAACUUUCCCUUUCAGACAGACCACAGAACAUAGCCACACUCUGGGAUAUCUCCCCUGGUUGCCAAGGUAUAAUGAAGACCAUCAGACCAUGGGAGUCCAUUUUCUCACCUUUUUCAGUUUCCUUCCUCUUAUUCCAGAUGCUCACAUUGACCUCAGGUGAGGAAGAGAUGAUGUCAAUGGAUCCGAGGUGGGAAAGAUGAUGAGGGACGUCAUUGGCUUCUGGAUGGUCCUUCACAUGUAUUUAGUACAUAUGUAUUACUCAAUUUAAUAUUAUGGUAAGUAUGAUAAAAAAUUAAGGCAGGGAAUUCAUUCCUUGAGCCCUAUUGGACAAUUUGAGUAGGAAAGGCACAAGGAUAUAAAUACUCACCGCCUCUUCUUUCCUAACCCAUUUAACACAACAAUAGCAACAGUAGGCCCUUUAAUAAAUAGUCUUUGGGGUUUUUUAGACA
Molecule: long non-coding RNA, 507 nt
Filed under: Sarcophilus harrisii (Tasmanian devil)
Lineage: Eukaryota; Metazoa; Chordata; Mammalia; Dasyuromorphia; Dasyuridae
Description: lncRNA (ENSSHAG00000028447.1)
Source: RNAcentral